GACGAACGCUGGCGGCGUGCUUAACACAUGCAAGUCGAACGGAAAGGCCCUGCUUUUGUGGGGUGCUCGAGUGGCGAACGGGUGAGUAACACGUGAGUAACCUGCCCUUGACUUUGGGAUAACUUCAGGAAACUGGGGCUAAUACCGGAUAGGAGCUCCUGCUGCAUGGUGGGGGUUGGAAAGUUUCGGCGGUUGGGGAUGGACUCGCGGCUUAUCAGCUUGUUGGUGGGGUAGUGGCUUACCAAGGCUUUGACGGGUAGCCGGCCUGAGAGGGUGACCGGCCACAUGGGGAAGGGGAUACGGCCCAGACCCCUACGGGAGGGAGGAGGGGGGAAUUUUGCCCAAUGGGGGGAAGCCGGAGGCAGCAACCCCGGGUGCGGGAUGACGGCCUUCGGGUUGAAAACCGCUUUCGCCUGUGACGAAGCGUGGGUGACGGUAAUGGGUAAAGAAGCACCGGCUAACUACGU
This 467-nucleotide ribosomal RNA is filed under the name uncultured bacterium. RNAcentral describes it as "partial 16S ribosomal RNA". It matches the Rfam family "Bacterial small subunit ribosomal RNA", at positions 28 to 506 of the family's 1533-position model. The record is from RNAcentral.